Molecule: long non-coding RNA, 6340 nt
Filed under: Xyrichtys novacula (pearly razorfish)
Lineage: Eukaryota; Metazoa; Chordata; Actinopteri; Labriformes; Labridae
Source: RNAcentral
AAUUUGGUGUCGGUGGGACGAAAGCCUUAGGAGGAGUUAGCCACAUUCCAAUGUGUGCGAAUCGGCAAAAAAUGCAAAAUAGCCCUUUAACCGUACAUUUGACAGAUACGCGCCCAUUGACUUUUUCGUAGAUCUUAUUGAGAUACACGUGAUUGUCAAAUUUUGUGUCAAUAUGACAAAGCGUACAGGUGUCACACUCAACAAUGUGAAUUUUCACCUUAGGGGACAAGAAAAAAUGGACUUUUUUCUCCUGCCAUGGGGGGGCGCUCUUUUGGGGAGUAAAAAAUCCUUCACAAAUGUGUUGAUGGCUGGACAUUGCAUCAUCCUAGAAAACUUGGAGGCCAGUGAGGACAAAAAUAAAAAGUUAUAAGACUUUGAAAUAUGUGGAUUUUAGGGUUAUCUUUGGCGCCCCCUAGAACCUAAACCGUGGGGUGCAGCGUCAUAAUUUGAAUAACUUUUAAUGGCCAUGGGGUGUAGAUUGGCCUGAGCAAAUGUGAUGCCAGUGGAACGAAAGCCUUCGGAGGAGUUAGCGAAAUUCCAAUGUGUGCGGAUCAACAAAAAAUGCGGAAUAACCCUUUAACCGUACAUUUGACAGAUACGCGCGCAUUGACUUUUUCGUAGAUCUUAUUGAGAUACAUGUGUGUGUCAAUUUUUGUGUCAAUAUGAUAAAGCGUACAGGCGUGACAGUCAAUAGUGUGAAUUUCCACCUUAGGGGACAAGAAAAAAUUGACUUUUUUCUCCUGCCAUGGGGGGGCGCUCUUUUGGGGAGUAAAAAUUCCUUCACAAAUGUGUUGAUGGCUGGACAUUGCAUCAUCCUAGAAAACUUGGAGGCCAGUGAGGACAAAAAUAAAAAGUUAUAAGACUUUUAAAUAUGUGGAUUUUAGGGUUAUCUUUGGCGCCCCCUAGAACCUAAACCGUGGGGUGCAGCGUCAUGAUUUGAAUAACUUUUAAUGGCCAUGGGGUGUAGAUUGGCCUGAGCAAAUGUGGUGCCGGUGGAACGAAAGCCUUGGGAGGAGUUAGCGAAAUUCCAAUGUGUGCAGAUCGGCAAAAAAUGUGGAAUAACCCUUUAACUGUACAUUUGACAGAUACGCGCGCAUUGACUUUUUCGUAGAUCUUAUUGAGAUACAUGUGUGUGUCAAUUUUUGUGUCAUUUUGCCAAAGCGUACAGGUGUUACACUCAACAAUGUGUAUUUUCACCUUAGGGGACAAGAAAAAAUGGACUUUUUUCUCCUGCCAUGGGGGGGCGCUCUUUUGGGGAGUAAAAAUUCCUUCACAAAUGUGUUGAUGGCUGGACAUUGCAUCAUCCUAGAAAACUUGGAGGCCAGUGAGGGCAAAAAUAAAAAGUUAUAAGACUUUUAAAUAUGUGGAUCUUAGGGUUAUCUUUGGCGCCCCCUAGAACCUAAACCGUGGGGUGCAGCGUCAUGAUUUGAAUAACUUUUAAUGGCCAUGGGGUGUAGAUUGGCCUGAGCAAAUGUGGUGCCGGUGGAACGAAAGCCUUCGGAGGAGUUAGCGAAAUUCCAAUGUGUGCGGAUCAGCAAAAAAUGCGAAAUAACCCUUUAACCGUACAUUUGACAGAUACGCCCGCACUGACUUUUUUGUAGAUCUUAUUGAGAUACAUGUGUGUGUCAAUUUUUGUGUCAUUUUGACAAAGCGUACACGCGUGACAGUCAAUAGUGUGAAUUUCCACCUUAGGGGGCGCUAUGGAGCCAUUUUGCAUUUUAUUGUUUGGCCGACUUCGGAAUAUCAAAUUUUUCACCAGGCCCGGUCGUCCUGCCAAAUUUCAUGAGUUUUCGCCAGUGGGAAGUGGGCCAUUUUCCAGUUCAAAGGGGAGGAAAAAUAAUAAUAAUAACAAAAGAAGGAAACAUGCAGGAACAAGAGGGCUCUCGCAGCUGCUUAGCAGCUACGCUCGGGCCCUAAAGAAAAACCACUUGGGGAAUAAUAGGGCUCUCGCAGCUGCUUAGCAGCUACGCUCGGGCCCUAACUAGGACCCCGUUGGGGCACUGGCGGGCCCGAGCUGUGUCGCAUCCCCCCCCCAACGCGCUGCCUCCCCGUCCCAUUUGUGUCCUCUGGCCAUCGCCCUCUCUGGUAACGCCCAUCACUGCAAAGACCCUUUUCCUUCAUCGGCGUUUGCUGUUCUUCCUUCCAGUGCGUGUUGCUUUCACUUACACUUGCCACAGCCAGCCUCGUGAGUGCCUAGCCUAUUGGAUAUCACUGUCACCUACACAGGACAGUCAUUACCUUUCUAUUAAUACUUUGUUUUUUAAUUUCACAUUAAUUUCCAUAUUGUAUAAACAACUGGAAAAAACUUGAGCCCCUGCCCCUGUAUAAUCAUGUGCACGUCUCUGUUCUAGCUGUAAGGUGAAUCUUCACUGCUCAUGUUCUCCUCAGAAGCAGUCACCUCACUCCCCUCAGGUUACUGUACACAUGCACCAACUGCCUGCUUCAGGUUUGGAUGGAGCUUCAUGGUUGUCUUUUGGAGAAAUGACCAGUCAAGUUGUGUUUGAAAUUUGAUUUUUUUCAGGGGCAAAAGGAGCCUCUGCAUUCUUGUCAAAUAUGUAAAUAGCAUGUUUUUGCAGGUGCUAAAAACCAGACUCUGAGUGUGUGUGUGUGCGUGUGUGUGUGUGUCUGUGUGUGUGUGUGUGUGUGUGUGUGUGUGUGUGUGCGUUCAAGUCACAUGACAUAUUUAACCGGAUGUAGCUGCAAGACGGAGCCUCGUUGACUCUCCGUUUCAACUUAUCUCAAAAGUGAGGACCUCAACCUAUAUACCAGUUUUUAAAUUGUGUUGAUAGGCCAAAUAAAACCAGAGUUAUGAUAAAUUAUGUCCGCGAUACUUGUUUUCUGCUUAUUUUGAUCACGUUCGGCGCUCGAUCGCGCUGUAUGAGACAGGAAAACAUAGCAUGCAGACAUUAGCGACAGGUCUUACAGGCGGAAAAGGCUUGCCAAAGGAAAAAAAAAACACACCACAACAUCUCUCCUAUUGGUGGAAAACUUCACCACAACAACCAAUCCAAAAUUAUAUGGUGACUGAUUGACAAGGGGCGGGCGCUUACGUUCUUCCUGCAAUAUGAGAAGGGAGGGAGGGACUCUCAGCAGGGAUGCAGUCUGGGACACGUAGUUGCAAACCUAGCGACUUUGUUGUUAGAUUCAAUGACUUUUCAGACCCCCUAACGACGUUUUUUUAGAAAGAAAGUGACUUUUAUCGACUUCUUCUGGAGUUUAGAGACUCUGACAUGAAGCAGGCUUUCCUUACUGAGGAGUUAGCAACGCUGCUAAGGGUGCAGAGCCACACAUGCGCUCCGAGCUCUGCAUGGGAGACUGAAGCUGACAGAGCUGCAGCAGUUAGCAGGUUUCACCCUCAGAGACCACCAGGGGUUCAUGUUGAGGCAUUUUCAGUUUUUUUUUUUUUUUUGCCAUAGACACUGUCAGCACAAUCUGCAGUUACACUAACAAAAAUGCUGCAAAAAACAAAGAAUUAUGGAAAAAUUACACAUGGACUGACAUAGAGGAGGAUCUACACAAGUUUUUUACAUCAUGUUUUACAUCAUGCAUCAUUUACAUCAUGUUUUUUUGUAGUGGCAUAAAUAAAAAGUGACAUUUGUGAGACUAUACAGUGUUUUGUAAAUAAUUUUACAAAGAACACCUGGGCCAUUGCCUGCAUUUUGAUGUAAAUAGAGGUAAAUUACUAUGUUCUUUGUUAAAAAUUUGCAUAUGUUUUGAAGUUUACAAUUUUUAUUUGAAGUUUAAGUUUUAAAAACAGUUCAUCACACAUAUUUGUGGUUUUCACAGUAAAAACGUUACUUUUUUCCACUCGGAUUUUAUGUUUUGUGUGUGAAUUUGGGUCCAAUGUGUAAAUAUAGUAUGUCAAAAUGAUAAAAUAACUGUAAAUUGACACAGGUGAGGUUGUGCUGAAAAAAAUGAUACCAGGCAAGGCAAGGUAAAAAUUUUGUAAGAGGAAAUAUAAAGGUAAAAUCUAAAGUAGUCAAAAACGGCCAAUAGUGACUCACAGACUCCACAGACAAGUCCCUUUGGCGCCACUCAGUGGGCAAAACUACUUUGUCUACUGUAAUGUAUAUUUGGGUCAUCUUUGGCGCCCCCUAAAACGUAAACCGUGGGGUGCAGCGUCAUGAUUUUUACAACUUUGAAUGGCCAUGGAGUGUAGAUUGGUCUGAGCAAAUUUGGUGUCAGUGGGACGAAAGCCUUAGGAGGAGUUAGCGAAAUUCCAAUGUGUGCGAAUCGGCAAAAAAUUCAAAAUAGCCCUUUUACCGUACAUUAUACAGAUACACGCUCUUUGACUUUUUCGUAGAUCUAAUUGAGAUACACAUGACUGUCAAUUUUUGUGUCAAUAUGACAAAGCGUACAGGCGUGACACUCAACAAUGUGUAUUUUCACCUUAGGCGACAAGAAAAAAUUGACUUUUUUCUCCUGCCAUGGGGGGGCGCUCUUUUGGGGAGUAAAAAUUUCUUCACAAAUGUGUUGAUGGCUGGACAUUGCAUCAUCCUAAAAAACUUGGAGGCCAGUGAGGACAAAAAUAAAAAGUUAUAAGACUUUGAAAUAUGUGGAUUUUAGGGUUAUAUUUGGCGCCCCCUAGAACCUAAACCGUGGGGUGCAGCAAGAUGAUUUGUACAACUUUUAAUGGCCAUGGGGUGUAGAUUGGCCUGAGCAAAUUUGGUGCCGGUGGAAAGAUAGCCUUCGGAGGAGUUAGCGAAAUUCCAAUGUGUGCGAAUCGGCAAAAAAUGCAAAAUAGCCCUUUAACCGUACAUUUGACAGAUACAUGCCCUUAGACUUUUUCGUAGAUCUUAUUAAGAUACACGUGAUUGUCAAAUUUUGUGUCAAUAUGACAAAGCAUACAGGCGUGACACUCGACAAUGUGUAUUUUCACCUUAGGAGACAAGAAAAAAUGGACCUUUUUCUCCUGCCAUUGGGGGGCGCUCUUUUGGGGAGUAAAAAUUCCUUCACAAAUGUGUUGAUGGCUGGACAUUGCAUCAUCCUAGAAAACUUGGAGGCCAGUGAGGACAAAAGACAAAAGUUAUAAGACUUUUAAGAAUGUGGAUUUUUGGGUUAUCUUUGGCGCCCCCUAGAACGUAAACCGUGGGGUGCAGCGUCAUGAUUUGUACAACUUUUAAUGGCCAUGGGGGGUAGAUUGGCCUGCGCAAAUGUGGUGCCGGUCGAACGAAAGCCUUCGGAGGAGUUAGCGAAAUUCCAAUGUGUGCGAAUCGGCAAAAAAUGCAAAAUAGCCCUUUAACCGUACAUUUGACAGAUACGCCCACACUGACUUUUUUGUAGAUCUUAUUGAGAUACAUGUGUGUGUCAAUUUUUGUGUCAAUAUGACAAAGCAUACAGGCGUCAUGUGAAUUUUCACCUUAGGGGGCGCUAUGGAGCCAUUUUGCAUUUUAUUGUUUGGGCGACUUCAGAAUAUCGAAUUUUUCACCAGGCCCGGUCGUCCUGCCAAAUUUCCUGAGUUUUCGCCAGUGGGAAAUGGGCCAUUUUCCAGUUUAAAGCGGAGGAAAAAUAAUAACGACGGAAGGAAACAUGCAGGAACAAGAGGGCUCUCGCAGCUGCUUAGCAGCUACGCUCGGGCCCUAAUAAUAAUAACAAACUAGGACCCCGUUGGGGCACUGGCGGGCCCGAGCUGUGUCGCGUCCCCCCCCCAACGCGCUGCCUCCCCGUCCCAUUCGUGUCCUCUGGCCAUCGCCCUCUCUGGUAACGCCCAUCACUGCAAAGACCCUUUUCCUUCAUCGGCGUUUGCUGUUCUUCCUGCCAGUGCGUGUUGCUUUCACUUACACUUGCCACAGCCAGCCUCUUGAGUGCCUAGCCUAUUGGAUAUCACUGUCACCUACUCAGGACAGUCAUUACCUUUCUAUUAAUACUUUGUUUUUUAAUUUCACAUUAAUUUCCAUAUUGUAUAAACAAGUGGAAAAAACUUGAGCCCCUGCCCCUGUAUAAUCAUGUGCACGUCUCUGUUCUAGCUCCAAGGUGAAUCUUCACUGCUCAUGUUCUCCUCAGAAGCACUCACCUCACUCCCCUCAGGUUACUGUACACAUGCACCAACUGCCUGCUUCAGGUUUGGAUGGAGCUUCAUGGUUGUCUUUUGGAGAAAUGACCAGUCAAGUUGUGUUUGAAAUUUGAUUUUUUUCAGGGGCAAAAGGAGCCUCUGCAUUCUUGUCAAAUAUGUAAAUAGCAUGUUUUUUCAGGUGCUAAAAAACAGACUCUGAGUGUGUGUGUGUGCGUGUGUGUGUGUGUCUGUGUGUGUGUGUGUGUGUGUGUGUGUGUGUGUGCGUUGAAGUCACAUGACAUAUUUAACCGGAUGUAGCUGCAAGACGGAGCCUCGUUGACUCCGUUU